Musa acuminata AAA Group (dessert banana) is the source of this 7819-nucleotide long non-coding RNA. RefSeq lists it as uncharacterized. The record is from RefSeq and is a predicted model, not a curated record. NCBI's taxonomy places the organism in Eukaryota, Viridiplantae, Streptophyta, Magnoliopsida, Zingiberales, Musaceae. The transcript has 2 exons.
AUUAGCCACCGGAGGGUCGCACCGCCAGAUCCCCACGCCGAUUAUCAUGGCGGUGAUGAGGUCUGAACGCGAUGGCGGAAGCAAUCGGCUGUUUCUCUUGGGAACGGGGUUCGUCGGGCGAUACCCGUACGAUCGCAUCACUAGACAAGGCUGACAUUUCUGUGGCAUCAGUGUAAAUGAUCCUAUGAAAAGAGAGCUCAAGGAGAUGGGAUUAGAGGCCUUUAUUUUUUAUGAGUUAAGCAACAAUUAAGUUUUUUCUACCUGUAGACAAUUUUAUCAUAGUUUAUUGCGUAGUGUAUUUAAUUAAGGAAGAAGAAUGUCUGAUCGAGAUUCCAAGCAUGAAUAUGAUGGCACUUUGUGCUAUUUUAUCAAUGUCAACAGAGCAAAUAAGGGCUAUAAAUUUUGUUCUUUCAUAUAACUUUACAUAUCGUAAAUUUUGGUUGCCACAAAUGCAGGCAACCAAACAGCUUCUUAGAGUGGCCUGAAUGGAUUCAAAGAGUUAUUUACUCUUUCACCAAUAGACAUAAAAUUAAUCAAUAUCAUUGGUUCAGUCAGACCAAGAUGCGGUCCAGGCUCGGUGCUGGCUCAGGUCUGAUUCGUCAAUCAAUCUGCAGUUGGGCUUCAAUACAGACUGGAAUGGGUUUGGUUCAUACUCAGGUCUAGCUUGAGUCUGAUUUGGGUUUGGUUCACUAUAAGCAGGUUAGCCUAGACGAGCGCCUGGGAUGCCUAGCAGCCAGCCUGAGGUGCUUGCCUAGGUCACACCCGACAUGUAUUGAGGUGCUUAGGGCUUGCUUUGCUUGGUUCGAGCGCCUAUUAAUAUCACUGGCACACUAAUGUCACGGACAAACUUCUAAACAAGAUGUUUGAUGUAAUGCUCAUGUAUGUCCGUGUCUCUUGGUAUGUUCAUGCCUUGUACAGAAUGUAGAGGGGCGGCCAAAGGCUUAAUAGUCUCAUUUUAGUUGGGUUGGUGGCCUCUUUAGGCUUGUAAAUAAAGAUUGUGUCAUGUGGACACGUGCGAGAGAUUUUCAGUCUGUAAUGGACCAUUUUACCCUUUGUUGUGCCACUGUUCAGAGCUUGUAAAGUCUGUUUGUAAUUUGCAUUGUCUAUGAAGUGUUUUUCGGAGAUGUUUGCUUGUGGAUCCCGAUUGAGGCGUUCUCUCUAACCCGUUCUCUCUUUUGUUGGUCCUAAGGGACAAAGGGAGGCUUCGGGGAGGCUGACCUUUGCGGACGGACACGCAAGGGUGCCGCACGACUUAGGCAAAACCAGCUAAGUCCGUGACAGAUGGUAUCAGAGUGGGACAAGCACUCAUAGAAACACUUAGCAUGCAAACGUGGGGGACCUAGCGGGGCUGCGUUGAGGGCAGUCAGCACACGCGCGACCGUUUGGGGGAAAACGGGCAUGGAGAUGUAAGGAAAAGGAGUCGCUCGGAGGAGCGGGCAUCUAACAUUGGCAUUCAGAGGAAUGGCCAACCCUUCGCGCAAGAGGCACCACGAGAACAGGCAAGCUUGGAAGAAUUUGGAGCGCACAAAGGUUGGGAUGGCUGAGUUUGAGCUACGGCUCAACGUUGACAACUAUACUUGAUGGUGCUCAAGGCAAGCGAGGCGCUUGGCAAAGGAUGAGACCAUGCAAGGUGGAAUGAGUUGUUCAGCGAUCGAAAGAGUUGUGCAAAGCUCACAGAGGUGAGGGGAAUUGCUAACUCAAAGAAUUCGAUACUCAUGCAUGGGCUUGUAUGCGGACGAUGGAAUGUUCGUGGCCAUCCCAAGGCGACCGAAACUCGGCGCCAUGGAGCAUUGAAACUUUCUCUUCGGCAUGUGAAGGAUACGUCCGUAGGAGGCUGAAGUGUGCAAUGAGUUCAGCAUGUUGCUAGGCCUUGAGGGGUGCAGCGGGGACUGUAUUGACGGGGAGUCGCAAUCUAGCAAGUGCGUUUGCAGGAGGCAGAACAAUGCACAGUUUGUUCAGCAGAUCGGAGUAGUCCAAGGGGAUGGUGGUCUCCGAAACGAAGAGAGAUGUUGCUCCAAUGGGAUAGUUAUCCAGGAGGGAUAAGUCCCGGCUCUCCGAGGGAGAAUCAUGUGAGACGGACCUCACAAGUUGAGGAGGAGUACCUCAACAAACAACAAUUCCACGAAGCUCGAUGGACUGAGCAAGCGGCGAGGAGUCGUCGCAUGAUCUCGCUUGAGAGAAUGCAUUGGUGGAUGCAUUGCGAGAUCAAGUGGGGGAGCGAUCCAAAGCAACUUAAAUGAAGGCACACUUGGAGUCGAUAUGGAGAUCGGACUCAAGGGAGGGCUGACCCGUGGAAUGGUGGGUGCGAGGGCCACCAUCGACUCAAUACAAAAACGAGGAGCGGAGCAACUUGGGUGUAACUUGGCGAAGUACCCAAGCCGCAUGAAGGGAGCCAGCAUAGAAGUUGGAACAUGGAGCAGAGGCACAGUGCUUUCCCUAGACAGAGGUCAAGGACAUGAACUCUUGCAGAGGCAGGAGUAGAAUCAUGUUGUUCCAUGGGUCCUUCAUUCUGACAGAGCGGACUCAUCUUGCAUGGUGCCAAAGACGAAGGGAGCUUCGGGGCACAUGCACCUUAUCUCGGAGGAGCAUUUGAUGGAGGAACUAAGGCGACUCAAUUUGCGGAGGCGAAGUUGAGUUCAGAAGGCCUUAGCACGGGGCAAGAGGACGCAGAGGCGGGUACUCUUGAAGAAUAUGCCACAGUGUUGUCAUUCAAGUUGCCAUGAAGGAAGCGGUGCGCAGCGGAGAUUGUGCUGGUAGGGGCAGAGGCCCAGGAUCCAGACAAUGGUGCACAAAUUACAGUGAAGUCGGUGGACUUCGGGAGCUACUAGGCGACGGACUGUCCUAGAGCGGUGCUUCAUCUAGGUGUGACCCAAGAGUGGGUGGAUGAAGGUUGAUUGCCAAAGGAGCGAACAAAAUCGAAGGUGGAGGAGACCCUGCGAUGUAUUGGCAAAGGCCACACAUGGAGGGUUCACAAUUCGAGUUUAUUCCACAAGGAUCAGAAUGCAAUGGAGAUGUCACCAGGAGGCGACAUGGUGCAGCGGAUCGUGGUGGAACAGUUCGUGGCAAUGCGAUACACACGACCUAGUCCCGGGAGGGACUAUAUCAUAUGGAGGUAUGAUCGGGAGCUACUGGAAGCUCCACUUCGGUGAACAACACGACGGCAAGAAGGGCUAUGGAUUUAAGGAGUGAAGGCCAUGGUACCGCAGAGGCGGGUCUUUCGUGCGUGCAUCGAAUUUUGCAUCGGAUGAAAACCUUGGUCAUCAGCAUAUGGGGGCUGUGUUCCACCAAGGGAAAAGUUCGAAUGCAAGUACCAGUGAGUUCCAUGGGAGGGACUUUAUCAUGCAGAGGUAUGAUCGAAGCAGCUGGAGAGUUGGACUGCUCCAGAGCUCAUAUUCGCUUAAGGGAGCCCGACAAGUCAGAGGACAAGGUCGAGUAAGCGAACGUUGCUACCAAGGAAGCUAAGGAGAACAGAAUCGGUGCAGACCCUAUAAUGCGAUGGCAGAGGCCAUGCAUGGGAGUUGCAGUCUGUCUUUCCAUCGACCAAAGGAGAGCUGCUUGGAGAACACAGAUGUGUUGAAGCAGGGGGUCGAAAAGGGCGAGGAAGCGACGACGAGUCCAGGGGGACUUAGCUACCCAAAAUCAAGCAUCAGUUAGAAUGGAGGUGGACUCGGAGGAGUGCCACAGAGACAUAUCUACUGAUUGUGAAGAAAAGGGAUGCAGAUGCGAGGCAACGGAUAGUAGCGCCAUGGGCAUGGCUGCGCCAUGGUACCGCAGAGGCGGGACUUCCGUGAAAGUCAUUGAUCCCUUGCUCUCAUGGAGGGAGAGUGCUUGGUCGUGAAAGGGGCCGAGGAGGUGGAGCAUGCAGAGGCAAUCUCCAAGUACCGAGACAAGGCUGAAGGGCAGAGGCCGAGGAACUUCGUAAGACCGGUGUCAACAAGUUUCUCAUCAAGAUAGCCGUAAGUGAAGGACUUCGGGUCAUGCAAGAGUGCACGACCAAGGAACGAAGCAAGCAGUACGUAGUGCUGUACCUUUGCUACUCAGUGGAGUAGGCGGCAGGGUUGAUGGAGAAGACGGUACAAUCCCAGAGGCGACCUCAUCUAUCAGAGAAUUACUCCAAGUUGGGGUGAAAACUUCCUGCAUUCCAGAAGUUCAAUGGCAUUGAGAAGGUGAAUCACAGUAGCUAACUCAACGCAAGGAGUGCAAACACUUCAAGUGCUUCAGAAGUGUGAGCAAAGAGCAGGCGAAGGUUAGUAACCAGCUCGAUGCAUGAAGUACAACCUCGAGGAGGCGAGCGAAGUCAAGUAUCCUUUGCCUUCUCAACUCUUAAGAGGAUGGGAGAAACCGAGUACCCCAAUUCUCUUAUCUAUCCAGCAGAGGAGCUCUGCAUAUGUUCAAAGACCCUUCGAAGAUAAUGGAAGACAAUAGUUGUCAAAUCCUCACCAACGGUGAUCAGUGCUACUGAGAGUAGAUUGUCCGCUUCAUUUCCCAACGAAAUGCCAAUCGAAAGCGGAAGUGAUGCGAACCUACUUGGAUGCGACAACUAAGUGAAAGAAGAGUCAAUGAGCAAAUUUUGUGGAGGAAGGACCCAAAACUUCAGAAGUUUGCGAGACGAUGCUCGUUAAAGCUCCAACAAGCAUCCACCCAGUUCAAGCAGCAUGAGGAAUUUGAGAGACUGGCGCAAUAAGGAUGGUCUUUUCCUUCAUCUGGGGGAUCCGCAGGAAUCAACAAUGAUCAACACAACUCAGCCAACCCCACACCAGAGUCAGAGUCAUUGGUGAGUUGAAGCAGCAUGGCGGAUCAAAGGUUCGACUACUCAAAAACAGCAGCGGAGAGCAGCUAGGAGCCAAGAGGCGCAUUGUAGCUGGAGCAGAAGAUUGAAGACUCAGCAAAGGCGAGAAGUUGCAGUGUCGACAAAGGCUUCAACGAGGACGUCGAAGGAAUAAGUGAGGGAGAAUGUCACGGACAAACUUCUAAACAAGAUGUUUGAUGUAAUGCUCAUGUAUGUCUGUGUCUCUUGGCAUGUUCAUACCUUGUACAGAAUGUAGAGGGGCGGCCGAAGGCUUAAUAGUCCCAUUUUAGUUGGGUUGGUGGCCUCUUUAGGCUUGUAAAUAAAGGUUGUGUCAUGUGGACACAUGCGAGAGAUUUUCGAUCUGUAAUGGACCAUUUUACCCUUUGUUGUGCCACUGUUCAGAGCUUGUUAGGUCUGUUUGUAAUUUGCAUUGUCUAUGAAGUGUUUUUCGGAGAUGUUUGCUUGUGGAUCCCGAUUGAGGCGUUCUUUCUAACCCGUUCUCUCUUUGUUGGUCCUAAGGGACAAAGGGAGGCUUCGGGGAGGCUGACCUUUGCAGACGGACACGCAAGGGUGCCGCACGACUUAGGCAAAACCAGCUAAGUCCGUGACACUAAUCUACCAUCACAUGUUAUAGAAGCAGAAAGCAAUCUAAGAAACUAUUUAUUAUUCUUGGUAAGUUUGAGAUCUGUAUGUGAUGAUAAUGCACUCAGCUAAUUUCGCCCACUACAUGUUUUGACUAAUUUCUAGUAACUAGCAGCUAAUCAAACUGAUUGAUUUUAAAUCUUUAAUUUCAUAAUUAUCUGUAGAGAAGCAUGUGCUAGCUAAUUGAUUUCAUAAUCAUGCAAAUUCUUUGAUUAUAUGAAGAGGUAGAGAAGUAUGUAUUUACAAAACUGAGUGUGUUUCUCUGCCUAAUUGAAGUUCAUGUAGUAAAGGACAUGUACCAAUGACAAUUUUAGUUUUGCUUCAUGACAACUAAUGGUUUACUGUCAGCAAAUCUAGAUGUAUUCAUUCACCUGCUAGCAGAAAAUCUUAGAUUUAUAUGUUAUAUUUCAAUAUUGGAUAUAUUUUCAAGGUGGAUUGCCUGGAUUCGAAAGUCUGAAGAACUCACUAGGGAUCUUCUAUGAUAUGGAAUCUUCUGGCGGUGUUUUUUAUGAAUAAGAAGUUUAAUUUAGAUGACAGUACUCUUAAAAUUAAAGUCUUUGGUUCUUUUUAAUAUGGUUGGUAAUUAUUUCGUGAUUUCUAAUAUGAAUCAAAUUUCUCUAAGAACUAGGUUACUUGGAGGAUAAGGAAUUCAAAGUAUGGAAAGAUUUCUGUGUGAAGAAACAAAUCUUGGAAAUUAGGAUAUAGUUAUUCAAUAAAUAUCCUAUGUAUAUAAAGUAUUGAUGACGAAUGCAUAAUUUUUUUAUAUGAGAUGUGUGGAAAAAAAAAAAACUUAAGAGUGCUUCCAAGGGAGUCUUAAGUUAACUCAAGAAGACAACUAUAGUUAUUAUUUUCAUAGACAUUAGUAAGAGUGCCGAAUCACAAAGCUUAUUAUCUUUUGAUUCUCUGAAUUGUUCCUUAAUACUAGUAUUGCCUCUUUGUAGGUAUGUUUUUUGUUUUCUCAAAGUUUAUUAUUUUUUAUUAUCUGAAUUGUUUCAUAAGUAUUGCCUCUUUUUGGUUGCAUUUCCAAGUGAUCCAAUGAUUUAAGAUGACCCCAUUGAAGACUUAGAAGCUGAUGUAGGAGAUGUCGUUGCUGGGACCUUUUGGUCCUCUUUAUACUGAAGAGGAUUAUCUUUUGAUUGUUAAAAUAUUAUGUCUUUAUAGUGUAAAACUUUUUUCUAUGAAGAUGAUCGUGUAGACAAAAUCACGACUAAGGGGACUCUUCUUGAGUGCAUAGCUGCUGCUGGGUGGGUGUAAAACUAUUAAACAGUCGUAUACUAGGAGUCAACCCUCAAUGUCACCCCGCUCAAGUCAACGGGCAUUGCAUUAUGGUGCAAAAAUCAAUGAACUCAUAAUAGAGACUCCUAUUAAAACAAAGAUAAAGGGGCUUCUUAUUUACUUUGAAAAUGGGAGGAAUUCCUCUCUUAAGAAGAGGAGGCCUAGAAAAUCCUCCAUUUUAAGAUGCAAAUAGACUUCUUAUAUGCAGAUCAUUGUGCUCGAUAUGCUAAGAGAAUCAUGAUGUAGGAUUAGGUCAAAUGAACAAUAAAAGAUGCCAUGUUAGGAGAUGCUUCCCCACAAUGCGCACCAUCUUAACAUGAAGCUACUGCAAUAGUGUUAAGAGAUCACUGAGCCAAUCUUGGCAUUUGUCCCCAACACUGAUGCUAUCUUUUUUAUUCCCACUGUAAAAGUGUUAGUCAUAUAUUUUUCGAAUGCUCUUUCAGUUCUACAGUAUGGUCACUUAUUAGGUUAAGCUGGACAUUCACUUUCAACACUUGGACUCAUGGCAUGCUGGAAGGGAGUGAUCUCAACAAGCAUGGUGCUAUGACCUUGAGAGCUUUGAUCGCAUAUACCUUUUGGUUAAUCUAGAAGGCCCAAAAUGAGGUAGUUUUUGGGAACUGCAAGAAAACUCCAAAAUCCAUUUUCUAUCAAGUGAUGGUGCAUGGUUUUGAUUGUAUUCCUUCUUCCAUAUACGAGGGCCAACAAGAUUUGAUAAACCGGAUCAAUUUUAGAUGGUCUCCUCUGCAGCAGGACUGGUAUAGGCUCAACACUGAUGGCACUUUUCAUGAGCCAUUCCAGGUUGGUGGGGUGGGAUUUUUGCUGCUUCGUGACUCUAUUGGCAUCUGCUUGUUUGCAGGUGGCAAGAACACUGAAGGCAAAGGCAGCUUCCUCAACGAGUUGGCUGCUAUUCGUGAAGGACUGCUGUUGUGUAAGGAGUGACGAGUGGGGAAAGUGGAAGUGGAGACGAAUGCAGAAUACAUGGUACGCCUGUUGCCACGACACUGUGAUCCCCCUUGGCGAUUUACAACCUCAUGCAAGAUGUUUUUUUUAGAUGCAAAAAAUUUCUCAUACUUUUUCAUGAAGGAAAUUGAUAUGCCAACUAGUUGGCAAAUA